Molecule: ribosomal RNA, 253 nt
Filed under: uncultured bacterium
Lineage: Bacteria
Description: partial 16S ribosomal RNA
Rfam family: Bacterial small subunit ribosomal RNA
Source: RNAcentral
GACAGAGGAUGCAAGCGUUAUCCGGAAUGAUUGGGCGUAAAGCGUCUGUAGGUGGCUUUUUAAGUUCGCCGUCAAAUCCCAGGGCUCAACCCUGGACAGGUGGUGGAAACUACCAAGCUAGAGUACAGUAGGGGCAGAGGGAAUUUCCGGUGGAGCGAUGAAAUGCGUAGAGAUCGGAAGGAACACCCAAGGCGAAAGCACUCUGCUGGGCCGACACUGACACUGAGAGACGAAAGCUAGGGGAGCAAAUGGG